GACGGGACCCGCACAAGCGGUGGAUGAUGUGGUUUAAUUCGUAUGCAACGCGAAAACCUUACCCACCUUUGACAUGUACGGAAGCCUUUAGAGAUAGAGGCGUGCUCGAAAGAGAGCCGUAACACAGGUGCUGCAUGGCUGUCGUCAGCUCGUGUCGUGAGAUGUUGGGUUAAGUCCCGCAACGAGCGCAACCCUUGUCAUUAGUUGCUACAUUCAGUUGAGCACUCUAAUGAGACUGCCGGUGACAAGCCGGAGGAAGGUGGGGAUGACGUCAAGUCCUCAUGGCCCUUAUAGGUGGGGCUACACACGUCAUACAAUGGCUGGUACAAAGGGUUGCCAACCCGCGAGGGGGAGCUAAUCCCAUAAAGCCAGUCGUAGUCCGGAUCGUAGUCUGCAACCCGCCUGCAUGAAGAUGGAGUUGCUAGUAACCGCAGGUCAGCUAUACUGCGGUGAAUACGUUCCCGGGGCUU
This 470-nucleotide ribosomal RNA is filed under the name uncultured Rhodoferax sp. Its description in RNAcentral is "bacterial SSU rRNA". It matches the Rfam family "Bacterial small subunit ribosomal RNA", at positions 916 to 1381 of the family's 1533-position model. Lineage: Bacteria; Pseudomonadati; Pseudomonadota; Betaproteobacteria; Burkholderiales; Comamonadaceae. The record is from RNAcentral.